GACGAACGCUGGCGGCGUGCUUAACACAUGCAAGUUGAGCGAUGAAGGUUGGUACUUGUACUCACUGGAUGAGCAGCGAUCGGGUGAGUAACGCGUGGGGAAUCCGCCUUUGUGAGGUGGCCAACAUUUGGAAACGAAUGCUAAUACCGCCUAAAAACUUUAAACACAAGUUCUAAGCCUGAAAGAUGCAAUUGAAUCACUCAAACAUGAUCCCGCGUUGUAUUAGCUAGUUGGAGAGGUAAAGGGGCACAAACGCGAGGAUACAUAGCCGACCAGAAAGGCUGAUCGGCCACAUAGGGACGGGAACGCGACCCGAACUCCUGCGGGAGGCAGCAGGAGGGAAUCUUCGGCAAUGGACGAAAGUCGGACCGAGCAACGCCGCGGGAAUGAAGAAGGUUUUCGGAUCGUAAAACUCUGGUAGUAGAGAAGUACGUAAGGGAGAGUGAAAAGCGCAUCAAAUGACGGUAACUACCCAGAAAGCGACGGCUAACUACGUG
RNAcentral lists this ribosomal RNA (497 nucleotides) under uncultured bacterium. Its description in RNAcentral is "partial 16S ribosomal RNA". It matches the Rfam family "Bacterial small subunit ribosomal RNA", at positions 28 to 507 of the family's 1533-position model. The record is from RNAcentral.